AUGCAUGUAUUUAUUAUCCUUGCAAGAAUGGAAGUAGUCAUCACACACAAAGCUGCAUGGGACAAAUAGUUCCCAGAGUAGAGUCCUUGAUAUGCUUACAUACAAGAGAGAGAGUAUG
Molecule: long non-coding RNA, 118 nt
Organism: Notothenia coriiceps (black rockcod)
Lineage: Eukaryota; Metazoa; Chordata; Actinopteri; Perciformes; Nototheniidae
Exons: 3
Source: RefSeq, a predicted model, not a curated record